RNAcentral lists this ribosomal RNA (453 nucleotides) under uncultured bacterium. RNAcentral describes it as "bacterial SSU rRNA". It matches the Rfam family "Bacterial small subunit ribosomal RNA", at positions 8 to 466 of the family's 1533-position model. The record is from RNAcentral.
AGAGUUUGAUCCUGGCUCAGGAUGAACGCUAGCGGCGCGCCUUAUGCAUGCAAGUCGUACGGUUUCUCGCAAGAGAGACAGUGGCAAACGGGUGAGUAAUAGUUAGGUAACCUGCCUUUAAGUGGGGGAUAACACUUCGAAAGAAGUGCUAAUACCGCAUGUGGUGCUCUUUCAUAAGAAGGAUCACUAAAACCGCAAGGUGCUUGAAGAGGGGCCUGACUCCGAUUAGCUAGUUGGUGAGGUAACGGCCCACCAAGGCAGUGAUCGGUAGCUGGUCUGAGAGGAUGGUCAGCCACACUGGGACUGAGACACGGCCCAGACUCCUACGGGAGGCAGCAGCAAGGAAUCUUGGGCAAUGGGCGAAAGCCUGACCCAGCGACGCCGCGUGAGGGAUGAAGGCCUUCGGGUUGUAAACCUCUUUUCUCAGGGAAGAAUAAUGACGUACUGAGAAUA